UGGGGAAUAUUGCACAAUGGGCGAAAGCCUGAUGCAGCGACGCCGCGUGGAGGAAGAAGGUCUUCGGAUUGUAAACUCCUGUUGUUGAGGAAGAUAAUGACGGUACUCAACAAGGAAGUGACGGCUAACUACGUGCCAGCAGCCGCGGUAAAACGUAGGUCACAAGCGUUGUCCGGAAUUACUGGGUGUAAAGGGAGCGCAGGCGGGAGAACAAGUUGGAAGUGAAAUCCAUGGGCUCAACCCAUGAACUGCUUUCAAAACUGUUUUUCUUGAGUAGUGCAGAGGUAGGCGGAAUUCCCGGUGUAGCGGUGGAAUGCGUAGAUAUCGGGAGGAACACCAGUGGCGAAGGCGGCCUACUGGGCACCAACUGACGCUGAGGCUCGAAAGCAUGGGUAGCAAACAGGAUUAGAUACCCUGGUAGUCCAUGCCGUAAACGAUGAUUACUAGGUGUUGGAGGAUUGACCCCUUCAGUGCCGUAGUUAACACAAUAAGUAAUCCACCUGGGGAGUACGACCGCAAGGUUGAAACUCAAAGGAAUUGACGGGGGCCCGCACAAGCAGUGGAGUAUGUGGUUUAAUUCGAAGCAACGCGAAGAACCUUACCAGGUCUUGACAUCCGAUGCAUAGCACAGAGAUGUGUGAAAUCCUUCGGGACAUCGAGACAGGUGGUGCAUGGUUGUCGUCAGCUCGUGUCGUGAGAUGUUGGGUUAAGUCCCGCAACGAGCGCAACCCUUAUUGCCAGUUACUACGUUAAGAGGACUCUGGCGAGACUGCCGUUGACAAAACGGAGGAAGGUGGGGAUGACGUCAAAUCAUCAUGCCCUUUAUGACCUGGGCUACACACGUACUACAAUGGCGUUAAACAAAGAGAAGCAAGACCGCGAGGUGGAGCAAAACUCAAAAACAACGUCUCAGUUCAGAUUGCAGGCUGCAACUCGCCUGCAUGAAGUCGGAAUUGCUAGUAAUCGCGGAUCAGCAUGCCGCGGUGAAUACGUUCCC
RNAcentral lists this ribosomal RNA (997 nucleotides) under uncultured bacterium. RNAcentral describes it as "bacterial SSU rRNA". It matches the Rfam family "Bacterial small subunit ribosomal RNA", at positions 355 to 1375 of the family's 1533-position model. The record is from RNAcentral.